This 360-nucleotide ribosomal RNA is filed under the name uncultured eukaryote. RNAcentral's name for it is "partial 18S ribosomal RNA". It matches the Rfam family "Eukaryotic small subunit ribosomal RNA", at positions 592 to 976 of the family's 1831-position model. The record is from RNAcentral.
CAAUAGCAUAUAUUAACGUUGUUGCAGUUGAAAAGCUCGUAGUUGAACUUUUGGUAGGAGCGACCUGGCCUUGGGCGCAUGCCCUUGUUUGCCGUGUGUCGUAUCUGGCCAUCCUUUUCCGCUUCGGCGGGAAUCUUUUACUGUGAGUAAACUGGAGUGCUCAAAACAAGACGUUUGUUUGGUACAUUAAAGCAUGGAAUAAUAAGAUAGGACCUGGUUACUAUUUUGUUGGUUUGCAUAGUUAGGUAAUGAUUAACAGGGACAGUUGGGGGUAUUCGUAUUUAAUUGUCAGAGGUGAAAUUCUUGGAUUUAUGAAAGACGAACGACUGCGAAAGCAUUUACCAAGGAUGUUUUCAUUAA